UACGGAGGGUGCAAGCGUUGUUCGGAAUUACUGGGCGUAAAGCGCGCGUAGGCGGUUUGUUAAGUCAGAUGUGAAAGCCCAUGGCUCAACCAUGGACGUGCAUUUGAAACUGGCAGACUUGAGUAUUGGAGGGGGUGGUGGAAUUCCCGGUGUAGAGGUGAAAUUCGUAGAUAUCGGGAGGAAUACCGGUGGCGAAGGCGGCCAUCUGGACGGUGACUGACGCUGAGACGCGAAAGCAUGGGGAGCAAACAGGAUUAGAUACCCUAGUAGU
This 271-nucleotide ribosomal RNA is filed under the name uncultured bacterium. RNAcentral describes it as "partial 16S ribosomal RNA". It matches the Rfam family "Bacterial small subunit ribosomal RNA", at positions 524 to 794 of the family's 1533-position model. The record is from RNAcentral.